CCACAUUUUGCAGUAGGCUAUAAUAUAAAGAUAAAUAGCCUACAAUAAGUGUGUGA
Gadus morhua (Atlantic cod) is the source of this 56-nucleotide microRNA precursor. Lineage: Eukaryota; Metazoa; Chordata; Actinopteri; Gadiformes; Gadidae. The record is from Ensembl.